Molecule: ribosomal RNA, 478 nt
Filed under: uncultured bacterium
Lineage: Bacteria
Description: partial 16S ribosomal RNA
Rfam family: Bacterial small subunit ribosomal RNA
Source: RNAcentral
GACGAACGCUGGCGGCGUGCUUAACACAUGCAAGUCGAACGGUAAGGCCCUUCGGGGUACACGAGUGGCGAACGGGUGAGUAACACGUGGGUGAUCUGCCCUGCACUUCGGGAUAAGCCUGGGAAACUGGGUCUAAUACCGGAUAGGACCCUGGGAUGCAUGUCCUGGGGUGGAAAGCUUUUGCGGUGUGGGAUGGGCCCGCGGCCUAUCAGCUUGUUGGUGGGGUGAUGGCCUACCAAGGCGACGACGGGUAGCCGGCCUGAGAGGGUGACCGGCCACACUGGGACUGUGAUACGGCCCAGACUCCUACGGGAGGCAGCAGUGGGGAAUAUUGCACAAUGGGCGCAAGCCUGAUGCAGCGACGCCGCGUGAGGGAUGACGGCCUUCGGGUUGUAAACCUCUUUCAGCACCGACGAAGCGCAAGUGACGGUAGGUGCAGAAGAAGGACCGGCCAACUACGUGUCAGCAGCCGCCGUAA